GGACAUAGCUCAGUUGGUAGACUGCUUGCCUCACAUGCACAAGGUCCUGGGUUCAAUCCCCAGCACCA
RNAcentral lists this transfer RNA (68 nucleotides) under Marmota monax (woodchuck). Its description in RNAcentral is "tRNA.Val". Lineage: Eukaryota; Metazoa; Chordata; Mammalia; Rodentia; Sciuridae. The record is from RNAcentral.